AUUGAACGCUGGCGGCAGGCCUAACACAUGCAAGUCGAGCGGAUGAAGGGAGCUUGCUCCUGGAUUCAGCGGCGGACGGGUGAGUAAUGCCUAGGAAUCUGCCUGGUAGUGGGGGAUAACGUCCGGAAACGGGCGCUAAUACCGCAUACGUCCUGAGGGAGAAAGUGGGGGAUCUUCGGACCUCACGCUCUCAGAUGAGCCUAGGUCGGAUUAGCUAGUUGGUGGGGUAAAGGCCUACCAAGGCGACGAUCCGUAACUGGUCUGAGAGGAUGAUUAGUCACACUGGAACUGAGACACGGUCCAGACUCCUACGGGAGGCAGCAGUGGGGAAUAUUGGACAAUGGGCGAAAGCCUGAUCCAGCCAUGCCGCGUGUGUGAAGAAGGUCUUCGGAUUGUAAAGCACUUUAAGUUGGGAGGAAGGGCAGGAAGUUAAUACCUUGCUGUUUUGACGGUACCAACAGAAUAAGCACCGGCUAACUUCGUG
Molecule: ribosomal RNA, 484 nt
Filed under: uncultured bacterium
Lineage: Bacteria
Description: partial 16S ribosomal RNA
Rfam family: Bacterial small subunit ribosomal RNA
Source: RNAcentral